UACGGAGGGUGCAAGCGUUGCUCGGAAUUAUUGGGCGUAAAGCGCGUGUAGGCGGUUGCCUAAGUCUGGUGUGAAAUCCCGGAGCUUAACUCCGGAACUGCACUGGAUACUGGGCAUCUAGAGGACAGAAGAGGAUGGUGGAAUUCCUGGUGUAGGGGUGAAAUCCGUAGAUAUCAGGAGGAACAUCAGUGGCGAAGGCGGCCAUCUGGGCUGUACCUGACGCUGAGACGCGAAAGCGUGGGGAG
RNAcentral lists this ribosomal RNA (245 nucleotides) under uncultured bacterium. RNAcentral describes it as "partial 16S ribosomal RNA". It matches the Rfam family "Bacterial small subunit ribosomal RNA", at positions 524 to 768 of the family's 1533-position model. The record is from RNAcentral.